UACGUAGGGGACAAGCGUUGUCCGGAUUUAUUGGGCGUAAAGAGCGUGUAGGCGGCCUGAAAGGUCAGCUGUGAAGACUCGAGGCUCAACCUCGAGACGUCGGUUGAAACCAUCUGGCUAGAGUCCGGAAGAGGAGUGUGGAAUUCCCGGUGUAGCGGUGAAAUGCGCAGAUAUCGGGAAGAACACCCGUGGCGAAGGCGGCACUCUGGGACGGUACUGACGCUGAGACGCGAAAGCGUGGGGAGCGAACAGG
Molecule: ribosomal RNA, 253 nt
Filed under: uncultured bacterium
Lineage: Bacteria
Description: partial 16S ribosomal RNA
Rfam family: Bacterial small subunit ribosomal RNA
Source: RNAcentral